Molecule: ribosomal RNA, 433 nt
Filed under: uncultured bacterium
Lineage: Bacteria
Description: partial 16S ribosomal RNA
Rfam family: Bacterial small subunit ribosomal RNA
Source: RNAcentral
AACGAACGCUGGCGGCAUGCCUAACACAUGCAAGUCGAACGAGACCUUCGGGUCUAGUGGCGCACGGGUGCGUAACGCGUGGGAACCUGCCCUUAGGUUCGGAAUAACUCCCCGAAAGGGGUGCUAAUACCGGAUAAUGUCUUCGGACCAAAGAUUUAUCGCCUUUGGAUGGGCCCGCGUUGGAUUAGCUAGUUGGUAGGGUAAAAGCCUACCAAGGCGACGAUCCAUAGCUGGUCUGAGAGGAUGAUCAGCCACACUGGGACUGAGACACGGCCCAGACUCCUACGGGAGGCAGCAGUGGGGAAUAUUGAACAAGGAGCGAAGGCCUGAUCCAGCAAUGCCGCGUGAGUGAUGAAGGCCUUAGGGUUGUAAAGCUCUUUUACCCGGGAUGAUAAUGACAGUACCGGGAGAAUAAGCUCCGGCUAACUCCGUG